This 219-nucleotide unclassified non-coding RNA is filed under the name soil metagenome. Its description in RNAcentral is "partial contains 5.8S ribosomal RNA, internal transcribed spacer 2, and large subunit ribosomal RNA". The record is from RNAcentral.
AAGACUAUAGACCUGCGGAGUACCUGCGGAAGGAUCAUUACAGGACUCGCAAGACUCCUACAACCCUGUGAACCUACUAUACGAACGUUGCUUCGGCGGGUGCGCCCCGGGGAUUCGUUCCCGCGGCGCGUCAGCCCGCCGGCAGCCUACAAAUUCUGUUUCUUUGCGUUGGCAUCUCGAGAAAAACAAAUAAGUUAAAACUUUCAACAACGGAUCUCU